CUUCUUCUUCUUCAUCUUCUUCAGCCUUCAACCUUUUGAUUAUAGCUCACUGCAUACGAAUCUCCUUCCCUACUCAUGGGUUGCUGUGAAUCUUCAUUUCUAGCUGAAACCCACCCGGAAAAAGACCACACCAGACAAUCCCACCCUCAUCAAAACAACCCAUCACCUUCUGUUCUUCUUGACCCUACUACUGGAGUCCCAUCUUUCUGUGAAUUCUCCUUCUCUGACCUCAAAGCAGCCACUAACAACUUCAGCUCUGAUAACAUCGUCUCAGAGAGCGGUGAAAAGGCCCCCAAUCUUGUAUAUAAAGGCCGCCUUCAGAACCGCCGCGGGAUCGCUGUUAAAAAGUUUACCAAGAUGGCUUGGCCCGAUCCUAAGCAGUUUGCGGAGGAGGCAUGGGGUGUGGGGAAGCUGAGGCAUAAAAUGCUGGCCAAUUUGAUAGGGUACUGCUGUGAUGGAGAUGAGAGGCUGCUUGUUGCUGAAUACAUGCCUAAUGAUACUUUGGCUAAGCAUUUAUUUCAUUGGGAAAACCAAACUAUUGAAUGGGCAAUGCGAUUAAGAGUAGCCUUCUGCAUUGCUGAAGCCUUAGAUUAUUGCAGUUCUCAGGACCGACCAUUAUACCAUGAUCUGAAUGCAUAUAGGGUUCUCUUUGAUGAGGAUGGAGAUCCACGCCUUUCGUGUUUUGGCUUGAUGAAAAAUAGUAGGGAUGGAAAAAGUUACAGCACAAAUCUUGCUUAUACACCCCCCGAAUAUCUAAGAAAUGGUAUUUCUUUUAUUUUAUUACAGAUCUUAUUGACAUGUGUGGAUUUUUUUCCCCUUUCAUUGAAUGGUCUUCCCAUGUCAUGGAGCUUGGUAUUUAUGUUUAGGGUCAGCAGUGUGGUAAUAUGUACUUUGGCUUGAAAGAAUCAUACUACUUUAAAUGCUGGUGAGGAGUGCUUUCAUGCAGAUUGAAAGAUCUAGUAGUUAACAAUGUCUGAAUAGGGGAUUUAGCAUCUGAGCUAUUAAAUUCAUAAUAUCAUAAAGAUAUAGUUUAAUGAAAAUAUUGUGCAUUCAAAUUUCUGAAUUCCAAUAGUAAUACUACCGAUUAAGAUGAGGAAGUACUUAACAUUAUAAUGGUUAUGUGCUAUGUCUAAUUGACACCUCCAAUCUUUUGUCUUAUUCAUUCAGUGACCCAUAUAAUAAAAAUGCUAGGAUUAUGGAAUUCAUAUAUUUGAGGCAUUGUGUUUUGUGUUGAUAAAGGAUCAUCUUUUUGAUGUUGAAAUUUUAAGUUGUUGACCAAAACUAUGGGAUAGAUAUAUUGAGCUAAAGUUGCAUUUGAUGAGAUAACAAAGAAUGAAAAUUAUGAGCUAAGAUAGUGUUUUGUACUCAGCUAGAUAUUAAAUAUCUUGUCAUAUACCAUUUAUUCGUUUUGUUUCUCAAGAUAUAGCUUCGUAAUUGAUUUGUAUUCAGAAUAAUUCCCAUUUUCACUGCAGUAUAUUCUUUACGUGUUUGUUUGAUUGACUACUAUUUGACUUGUAUAUUUUGCAAUGUUACUAAAUUAUGUCUGUUGUAGGAAGAGUCACUCCUGAAAGUGUUAUCUUCAGCUUUGGGACUGUCCUCUUGGAUCUUCUCAGUGGAAAGCACAUCCCUCCUAGUCAUGCCCUAGAUAUGAUACGGGGAAAAAACAUCCUUCUCUUAAUGGAUUCACAUUUGGAGGGAAACUUUUCAACUGAAGAAGCAACUGUGGUCUUUGAUCUAGCUUCAGAAUGUUUACAGUAUGAACCUAGAGAGAGGCCAAAUACAAAGGAUCUUGUUGCUACCCUUGCACCGUUGCAAAAUAAACCUGAUGUUCCAUCUUAUGUGAUGCUUGGAAUACCAAAGCAUGAGGAAGCAUCGCCUACUCCACAACACCCUCUUUCUCCAAUGGGUGAUGCCUGUUCACGGAUGGAUCUCACAGCUAUUCAUCAGAUUUUGGUAAUGACACACUACAAGGAUGAUGAAGGAACUAAUGAGUUAUCCUUCCAAGAGUGGACCCAACAGAUGAAAGAUAUGUUGGAGGCCAGAAAGCGUGGAGAUGUAGCAUUUCGUGACAAAGAUUUUAGAACUGCCAUAGAAUGUUAUUCUCAGUUCAUAGAUGUGGGAACAAUGAUUUCUCCAACUGUCUAUGCACGGCGAAGUCUAUGCCAUCUUCUAUGUGAUCAACCAGAUGCUGCCCUCCGAGAUGCAAUGCAAGCACAAUGUGUAUACCCUGAAUGGUCAACAGCAUUUUACAUGCAAGCUGUGGCUCUUGCGAAGCUGGAUAUGCACAAGGAUGCAGCUGACAUGUUGAAUGAGGCUGCUGCACUAGAAGAAAAAAGGCAACGUGGAGGGAAAGGAUCUUGAGAGGUGACUUGUGUAAUAUUCUUUUGUACUUGAUUGUUUGUGAUUGUUGUAACAAAAAUGUGGGCUUAGUGUAUUGAGGAAUUAGAAAUGUGGUUUUCAUCCUAAAUGUAACAUAGUAGGAGAGGGAGAGGGAGAGGGAGAAGGAAAGGGAGAGGGAGAGAAGGGAGAGAGAAAGGGAAAAGGAAAGAGAAAGAGAGAGGAGGACAAGAGAAAAGGAGAAACGGAGAGAAUUUACCAGUGAUGAUGAUAGUGGUGAUGAUUCCAGGGAGCAUGAUAGGAAGCGACGGAGGAGAGAUGAUAAUGACUACAGGGAGAGAGCACGUGAACAGAGCACUGGCGGCAGGUCAAACAGGCACAAGGAUGACAGUGAGGGGAGCCCAAGGAAAAGGAGUGGUGAGGAUGACACAGAUAAGAAAGAGAAGAAAACUCGAGAGGAUGAAUUAGAGGAUGAACAGAAGCGAUUGGAUGAGGAAAUAGAGAAGAGGAGAAGAAGAGUUCAGGAGUGGCAAGAGUUGAGGAGGAAAAAGGAAGAAUCCGAGAGAGACAAGCAUGGGGAAGCAGCUAAUGUAGAUAAACCCAAUACAGGUAAAACUUGGACCCUUGAAGGAGAUUCUGAUGAUGAUGAAGCACCUCCUACAGGGACAUCAGAAACAGACAUGGAACUAGAUGAAAAUUCAAAGCCUGAUAAAGAUGUUGGAGAUGCAAUGGUGGUAGACUUUAAAAAUGGGACAGCUGCUUUAGAGAAUGAUGGUGAUGAUGUUAUUGGGGAUGAGGAAAUUGAUCCAUUGGAUGCUUUCAUGAAUUCCAUGGUCUUACCUGAAGUUGAGAAGCUAAACAAUGCAGCAAUUACUCAAGCUGUUGAUGAUAAUAAAGUGGAGUUAAAGAAGAAGGACAAAAAGGAGGAAGGAAGCAAUGGAGAGCAGCUGAAGAAAGGCUCUAAUAAAUCUCUUGGGAGAAUAAUUCCUGGUGAAGAUUCUGAUUCAGAUUAUGGGGACCUUGAGAAUGAUGAAAAUUCUUUAGAUGAUGAAGAUGAUGACGAGUUCAUGAAGAGGGUGAAGAAAACGAAAGCUGAGAAGCUAUCUGUUGUUGAUCACUCGAAGAUUGAUUACAAACCUUUCCGGAAAAAUUUCUAUAUUGAAGUGAAGGAGGUAUUGAGGAUGAACCCUGAAGAGGUUGCUACUUAUAGGAAACUAUUAGAACUGAAAAUACAUGGAAAGGAUGUUCCAAAACCAGUUAAAACAUGGCACCAAACUGGACUGUCAAGUAAAAUUUUGGACACAAUAAAGAAGCUUAACUAUGAGAAGCCAAUGCCGAUUCAAGCUCAGGCGCUGCCAAUAAUUAUGAGUGGCAGAGACUGCAUAGGCAUUGCAAAAACUGGCUCUGGCAAAACCCUCGCUUUUGUGCUGCCAAUGCUGAGGCACAUCAAGGACCAGCCACCUGUGGAAGCUGGAGAUGGGCCAAUUGGGCUUAUAAUGGCGCCUACUAGGGAGCUUGUUCAACAGAUCCACAGUGACAUAAAGAAGUUUGCCAAGGUACUGGGAAUUAGAUGUGUGCCUGUAUAUGGAGGCUCUGGUGUUGCUCAACAGAUCAGUGAAUUAAAGCGGGGUACUGAGAUUGUUGUUUGCACGCCAGGUAGGAUGAUUGACAUACUUUGCACAAGUGGGGGUAAAAUUACAAAUCUGCGUAGAGUUACUUAUCUAGUAAUGGAUGAAGCUGAUAGGAUGUUUGACAUGGGCUUUGAACCUCAGAUCACUAGAAUUGUCCAGAAUAUUCGACCAGAUCGUCAGACUGUACUCUUUUCUGCUACUUUUCCUCGGCAGGUUGAGAUUUUAGCUCGAAAAGUACUGAACAAACCUGUGGAAAUUCAGGUUGGUGGGAGGAGUGUGGUGAACAAGGACAUAACUCAGUUAGUUGAGGUAAGGCCAGAAAGUGACAGGUUCUUGAGACUCCUAGAACUACUUGGUGAAUGGUAUGAGAAGGGAAAAAUUUUGAUAUUUGUCCAAUCACAGGAUAAAUGUGAUGCUUUGUUUAGGGAUUUGCUCAAGCAUGGUUAUCCUUGCCUUUCACUUCAUGGGGCUAAAGAUCAAACAGACCGUGAGUCUACCAUUUCUGAUUUCAAAAGCAAUGUAUGUAAUUUGUUGAUUGCCACAAGUGUUGCAGCCAGAGGUUUAGAUGUGAAGGAGCUUGAAAUUGUGGUCAUUUUUGAUGUCCCAAACCAUUAUGAGGAUUAUGUUCACCGUGUUGGUCGAACAGGCCGAGCUGGUCGCAAAGGCUGUGCCAUCAUAUUUAUUUUCGAGGAGAAUGCAAGAUAUGCACCAGAUCUUGUAAAAGCAUUGGAAGUCUCUGAGCAAGUUGUUCCAGAGGGCCUGAAAGCUCUUGCUGAUGGUUUUAUGGCAAAAGUUAAUCAGGGGCUUGACCAAGCCCAUGGAACUGGUUAUGGUGGAAGUGGUUUUAAAUUCAGUGAAGAGGAGGAUGAAAAGAGGAUAGCAGCAAAGAAAGCACAAGCAAAAGAAUAUGGCUUUGAGGAAGACAAGUCAGAUUCGGAAGAUGAAGAUGAAGGGGUUUGUGAGGCAGAUGGUGACAUCUCACGCCAGGCUGCCUUUGCUCAGCAGUUAGCUGCUAUUGCUGCUGCCUCCAAAGGCAUUUCAUCUUCAAUACCAAGUCCUAUCUCAGCUGCUCAAUUGCUUCCUGCUGGUGGAUUACCAGUUUCUUUGCCAGGUGUCAUGGGCCUUGCAAUUCCAUGUGCAGCUACGGUUGUGCCUGGGCCUGGACUACCUGUUGUUGGUAAUGAUAACACAAGGCAAUUGCAGCUGCCAUCAACUUGCAGCAUAACCUUGCAAAAAUCCAAGCUGAUUCAAUGCCAGAACAUUAUGAAGCAGAGCUGGAGAUAAAUGAUUUCCCGCAAAAUGCUAGGUGGAAGGUUACUCACAAGGAGACAUUCUGAAUGGACUGGUGCUGCUAUUACUACCAGGGCACAGUAUUUCCCACCUGGCCGGAUUCCAGGACCAGGAGAACGUAAGCUCUACUUGUUUAUUGAGGAACCUAGUGAAAUGUCUGUUAAGAAAGCUAAAACAGAACUAAAACGUGUUUUGGAAGACAUCACAAACCAGGCAUUAUCACUUCCUGGUGAAGCUUAACCAGGGAGAUACUCUGUUAUUUAAGUGCAAGUUAUCACAAUUUCUAUGUCAGACAUGAAUUGAAUCUCUUGUUAAAUAUUUCCUCGCCUUUUACACAUCCAGAUGCUUAAGUCAUUUUGGUUUUGAAAACUUUGAAAAUAACAAAAUGCCUUUCUUUCUUUCUAAAAUGCUUCUUGUAGAUUAUUCUCUACCUUUCCCCCCAUGUUUUGUUCUUGGAGCAUUACAUGAGACAAAACUUACAAUGAACCUUAGAACUGAUUUUUGUUGAGAAGAUUCUUUUUCCCCCUUAUUUUAUAUAUUUGUGUUUUUCAUGGUGCAAACCACAUCCUAUUAGCAAAUGUGAUGAGAAGAUUGUCUACAUCUGACCAUCCUUGGGGCCUUUAAGGGAGAGUGUGUGUUUGGUGUUAGAUUUUCAUCUCUCCUCGCCUUAUUCUUAUAUAUGUAUAUAGUAGCUUCUCAAAUUUGUUGUGCAUAUGUUAAAUAGUUGUCCAUUUCAAUUUGUUUCUUUCUUCCCCUCCUAAUUUCUUCCUUUUCUCCUUUUUUUUUUUUUUUGGGUUUGUUCUUUUCCUAUGGAUCAAGGGAUGAUUAAGCCUAUGCCUGCAUGUCCAAAAUAGUUUCUGCUCA
This 6122-nucleotide unclassified non-coding RNA is filed under the name Hevea brasiliensis (rubber tree). The record is from RNAcentral. Lineage: Eukaryota; Viridiplantae; Streptophyta; Magnoliopsida; Malpighiales; Euphorbiaceae.